CUGUUUUUUUCGACGGGAGCCAAAAAUAGCCAAUUUUGAGCGUCCCAAAAAAUGAUCAAAACGUGGAGUAACAUAGAGUAAUAUCUAUAACCAAUAUUCCUUGGCUAAUAAAUGGUCGGAUCAAGUAAAAAUACAGCGUGUUACGCCAUGGUUUCCCUUCGAAAUAUUUUUUUUUCAAACACUGCGGUCGUCCAGCCGUGCCUGACGAGCGCCACGCAUGACAUCUCGCAAACAAAUCAAUGAUAGAAAGAACAUCAGCGUUGGGAUUCAUGAUGUUCGCAAAGUUCUACUACAAAGCAAGACUACUAAACUGCCGACAACUUUGGUUUCCUUUGCAAUAAUUACUUUCAGAGUUCAAAUGACGAUGGACGAGGGGGCCUGAGGAGACAUCAUUUGAUUGGUAAAACUGAUAAAUAAGGCUCAAGGUCAAGUAUUCUCCUCGCAGCUCUCGCAGCCGCUUUUAGUUUCGGUCACGCAACGUUUCCCUCACUAGGCAAUGGUGUUGUCUGACAGUCGCGCCUUAUUUCUACCGCGCGGCACUCAUUUUUUUUCUUUCUCUUUUCUAUUCUUCUUUGCUUGGUGUCCUUUUUGCUGUUCUUGGCCUUCAUUUUUUUUUUUUACUUUUGCGACCCCAUUUUUGUCAAACCCGAAUCAUCAAGCUACGACUGGCUAAUGCACUAGUCAGUGGAAAGCCCCUCCGCACCCCCAUACCCGGGGAAUAGCGGGGCUUUCGAUGCUUGGAGCUUAUAAAACCCCGCUAUUGCCCCGCACUGCGUGAUCUGUUUUCACAACGAAAAUACACAUACAGGACUCGCCCCCGGGAUGUAUUAAAACCAAAUAAUCAAAUUUUGAUCGAUUGUAUCGAUCGAUCGUAUUAAUAUUUACAAACAAUCCUUAAAUGCAUUUGAGCUCCUUAAAGAGAUUGAUGUUGUAUCAUGUACAGUAUCUCUCAAAUGAGCUAAAAGACGUGCCACUUAUUCCCAUUACUUGCAUUCAUAGUGCAACACGUUAAUUGAUAUAAAACCGAUGAAACGCUAAAUGAAAUAUCUUUACUCAACAUGAACAAUCUCCGACAGCUCAGCCUAACGAACUUGCUCACGCAUUAUUAACUUUUCUUGUCCAUUUACACUUAUAGUAUCGAAAACCACAGGCAGCCCAAGGUUACUGUCAGAAGUUUAUAAAGGAAUGUAUGGGGGAAUUUAUAUGUUAUAUGUUAGCCCCCCCAAAAAAUACUUUAUCGUGGAAAAUAAAACUUUAGACCAUGUAAUAUUGUGUUUGAGUCUUCCUUUAUUUCAAUUUUGCCGAUAGAAUGUCAGUAGAGCGAGUUUGAAGCCCGUCACGAAUUGUGUUUCUUAUUCUCUGUCCUUGGGCUGCCUGUGCGAAAACCUGUACAUGUAGACUCAUUGUUCGUGACUUCGUAUGCGAGCUUGUGCAGUAAAACCUCUCGUGGAUUUAUAUAUUAUACACAUACACCAAAAUGUGUGUCCUCAUGGUUUGUGGUCACGUCCUUUGAUAUUGUACCGUGAGAAGACUUUAAGUUUGUGAAAGCAAAGCAUCGAAUUAACUGGAAAAGGUAAUUUCUUUGACGUUUUGGGCUUCCUGUGGCAGUUUAAUCCCGGCUCCAGUCCCCACCUACAGCGCGGUAUUCAGCUUUGCCGAUGUAAAACACGUCUAGCGCCCCGGGUGCCGUGGUCAUAUUUCGCCCCGCUUAGCCCCGCUGUUCCCCGGGCAUGGGGGUGCGGGGCUUUCCCCCGACUAGUGCAUAACGCUCGAAACGUCAUCGAAAAUACUCUGUUUUCAUAGGGGCGCAAAACAUACCAUUUCAAAAUGUAUUAAUUUUUUUUCUCUGAUUCUACCUACGCCGACCACCACCUAGUUUACUCUACACCUUGCCUGUAGUAUUCCAGUCAUACCUGAUUUAUCAUCAGACGUUAUACACGGCCAUAGCAACAGUUAAUUAAGGAGUGCAUUUUAGUCAGGUAGAGUUAAUCAUCAAUGAGAAAAUAAUAUUUUUUUGUGUUUUGUCUCCUGUCUGUAUAAUGGAUUCUCGAAGUUGGGGAAAGCACCAUCCCGAAAAGGGGGACAAAGGGUGUGUUUGAGGGUCGGGGGAGUGGGUACCUGCCGCUCAAUCUACCACUACAGGGGGUGAAGCAAUAAAUCUUUGAGGAUGAAAAACUGUGUUACCCUUUCUCCCUUAACGUGAAUGUCUCAAGGGUACCCACUGCCUCUAGUCUAUGAAUAUAUAUCACGGGCAAACAAGCCAAAAUUUUUGUGUACCGAAUAUUGAUAUCUCUAAUAAAGCCAAUUUCUUGAA
Long non-coding RNA from Nematostella vectensis (starlet sea anemone), 2314 nucleotides. RefSeq lists it as uncharacterized. The record is from RefSeq and is a predicted model, not a curated record. The transcript is spliced from 2 exons. Lineage: Eukaryota; Metazoa; Cnidaria; Anthozoa; Actiniaria; Edwardsiidae.